AUUGAAGUUCAGCUUCCCAACUACCAAUUGUUCUGUUAUGACCCAGCCAUCAGCAUAUUCUAAACCACAGUCGAUUAGUUAGUGGGCAUUCAAAAAACAAAUGAGCAAAUUCUUCUACAUGUUGAUUACAGAAUACACAAUUCACAGACACGUGCACUCCAAUCUUCUAUAAUCUGUCAACAGUAGGCAGUCCACGUUGAGCAGCAAGCCAAGCAGUGAAU
RNAcentral lists this long non-coding RNA (221 nucleotides) under Nicotiana benthamiana. Its description in RNAcentral is "long non-coding RNA (NBEN_LNC016950)". The record is from RNAcentral. Lineage: Eukaryota; Viridiplantae; Streptophyta; Magnoliopsida; Solanales; Solanaceae.